UCAAAUUCCUAUAAAUCAGCUUAAUAAAAUUUCAAUCAUGGAGUGCUUCUGAUUUUCUGUUCAGUUUCCAUAACCAGCAAAAUACUCCUCCGCUUCUAUCCUCCUUUAGAGUCUAUCUGCUUCUGAGCUUUGUCCAUGUGUAAACUCUAUCGAGUCUGGCCUAAGUAAACUCUGAUCAGUCUUUAGCAUAAACUCUGAUCAGCUUUUUGUUAAACUCUGAUCACUCCUGUUCUUAAACAAAAUUUAGAACAUUAGUAAUCAUCAAUUAUAUCUAACAUAUUUUCUCGGCCGAUCAUUAGGGUUUCGUUUCUACUCCAAUUCUAUAUCUACUGUAAAAAAAAUUGAUGUUUAUAUAUCUCAUUGUAUUUAGUUUCCUUUUUUUUGUAGUCUAAGUGUUUGAUUAAUGGUCUAAGAGAGUUGUAGUUUUUUUAGUGUUCUUCUGAUGUCCAUUCUCCACUGUCUAACAUAACCAACCUUGGGAGAGUUGUUAGCAUUAGAAGAAGUAUCUACUUCUUUCAGGAGAAAGGUUAAUGUAAACCGGGAGAACGUUGGUCUGUAUAAUUCAGACAAACUGAAAGGUAAUCAUCUUCUCAGUGAAUUUUGGACGUACUGUGUUUUAUGUUAUUAAAUUCGUUGUUAUUUUUCCUUUUUCUUCUUAACAAUUGAUAUGUUGUGAUAUCUCGUAGAACCUUUCCGCAACAAUUGAUAUCCCAUGGUUCUAUGUAAGUUAUGAGUUAUCCACUUCACGUACUCUAGAUGCGGGUUUUAAAUUUUUAGGUGCUACUUACACCCACCUACCUUAUGAUUGUGAUGGAUAUGCUUCUGGAGGCUAGCGUUUUGAACGCACUUUAGGUGCAGGCAUAUUUAGUGAAGAUGAGGCUCAAAACUUCUUUCAGCAACUAAUCUCAGGAGUAAGCUACUGUCAUUCAAUGCAAGUAUCUCAUGGGGACUUGAAUCUGGCCAACAUUAUGCUAGAUGGAAGCCCUGCAAGAAGAUUGUAAAUAUGUGAUUUUGACUUCUCAACGGUGAAUCUUUUAUAGACGCGGAUACAAUUGAUGGAAUGGUUGAUACAAUCUGAGUCAACCAGAUAAAAAUAUGUAACAGAGACAAAGUCAAAUGGUGCAUGUUCAUUUUUUAAGUUUGUUUUUACUGGAAAUCUGCAGACCUUUGAUAAGAUGACACUUCUUUUGUAUUUGGAGCAAAUUAAUGCUACUGCUGGUUUUUACAGACAAUAAGGUGCAUGGGAAACAUGGGCAAACUGGCCAUUCUGGAGAACUGGAACUUGGAACUCGCAAACUCCUAAAACAGUGAGUGAUCCAAUGUUCGACGUUAGUUUUGAUUGUGACAAGGAGAACGAUGGAGUUCCAAGGGCAUUUAUCAUUAAGAAUAAUCAUCAUCAUGAAUUCUACCUUAAGACCCUUACUCUUGAAGAUGUUCCUGGCCACAAUCGUGUUCAUUUUAUUUGCUUGCCACAUUUUACAAGAAAAAAUUGAAGAAAUAGUAAAACUAUAUGAAGGGGAGAUCAAACUAUAUGAUGGCCCUGUAUUGUCAAGUGUUCGAGAUCGUAUAUCAUCACAAAUUCUCAGAAAACUACUUUGAAGUGAUGGUGAGCCAGUGUUUCAAAUCCCUAUGCCACAAGUGAUUAAAGAUGAAGUGCGCAAAAAGGGUGGACUGAAGUGCGUGAAAAGGGUCAUGGUGACAAGAAAGAUGAACCUUGGUGGCCUAAAAUGCAGACUCGAAAUGAGCUAAUAGAGUCAUGUACUACCAUAAUUUGGCUGGCUUCUGCUCUUCAUGCAGCAGUAAACUUUGGACAAUAUCCAUAUGAUGGCUACCUCCCUAACUGUCCAGCAAUGAGUAGGCGCUUCAUUCCUGUUCCUGGCACAUAGGAAAAUUGAGUUUUGUAGAAUAUGCUUCUUUUUCUUCUGAUUUGCAUAAAGAAAAGGAAGAUGUUUAGGUUAAUUCGAAAGUGCUAAGAUUUUCCCAUGAAGUGUUUAUGAGUUCUUAUCUAUUUUUGGUCAUGUAAAGUUAAAUGUGCUAAGAUUUGCAUGAACAAAGGAAGAUGUUGACAUGUGUAAGAGUUUGUCUAUAUUUUCCUGUGUACCAGAUUUUUUUUA
Long non-coding RNA from Daucus carota subsp. sativus, 2114 nucleotides. RefSeq lists it as uncharacterized. NCBI's taxonomy places the organism in Eukaryota, Viridiplantae, Streptophyta, Magnoliopsida, Apiales, Apiaceae. The record is from RefSeq and is a predicted model, not a curated record. The transcript has 5 exons.